UUUAAAUUUAAAGUGUGUUUGAGUGCAUAUGCUGUAGGAAGAGGAAGACUAUUAAAUAAACGUUCGUUGCGCAUCUCGUGGUGCUUUAAAGCAGUCUCCUGCUUUCUUGUGACCUUUAGUCAUUUUGACUGUUCUUUUAGUUGUAUUUUAUUUUACAUUUUAAAGCUGUAGGAAUGAAAAAAAAAUCCACAAAAAUUUACGUUUUUUUUUCGAUGAAACAACCGUUCACUAGCUUUUCAUUUUAUUGACAUCAAAUCACCUGUCAUGAGUCCUGGACAUCCUCUCACAACUUUCACAGCUCGAUUGGGCUUUUUUUUUUCUUUUUACAUUUUUCCUCACCUUGGUCAAACCAGCACCAGCCAUGCCUCCAACCAUCUGAGCCACGAUGUAAGGCACGAGCAGGGG
Long non-coding RNA from Labrus bergylta (ballan wrasse), 405 nucleotides. RefSeq lists it as uncharacterized. Lineage: Eukaryota; Metazoa; Chordata; Actinopteri; Labriformes; Labridae. The record is from RefSeq and is a predicted model, not a curated record.